AAGAGUUUGAUCCUGGCUCAGGAUUAACGCUGGCGGCGCGCCUAAUACAUGCAAGUCGAACGGAAACCUUCGGGUUUUAGUGGCGAACGGGUGAGUAACACGUAAGCAACCUGCCUUUAAGACGUGGAUAACAAUUGGAAACAGUUGCUAAGACAGGAUAGGAAAUUAAGAGGCAUCUUUUAAUUUUUAAAAGACCUUUUUCGAAAGGUAUACUUAAAGAGGGGCUUGCGCCACAUUAGUUAGUUGGUAAGGUAAAGGCUUACCAAGACGAUGAUGUGUAGCUGGACUGAGAGGUCGAACAGCCACAUUGGGACUGAGACACGGCCCAAACUCCUACGGGAGGCAGCAGUAAGGAAUUUUUGGCAAUGGAGGAAACUCUGACCGAGCGACGUCGCGUGAACAAUGAAGUACUUCGGUAUGUAAAGUUCUUUUAUUGAAAAAGAAAAAAUAGUGGAAAAACUAUCUUGACAUUAUUCAAUGAAUAAGCCCCGGCUAAUUAUGUGCCAGCAGCCGCGGUAAUACAUAAGGGGCGAGCGUUAUCCGGAAUUAUUGGGCGUAAAGGGUGCGUAGGCGGUUUGAUAAGUCUAUAGUUUAAAUGCAGUGCUUAACGCUGUAGCGCUAUAGAAACUGUCUGGCUAGAGUUAGAUAGAGGCAAGCGGAAUUCCAUGUGUAGCGGUAAAAUGCGUAAAUAUAUGGAGGAACACCAGAGGCGUAGGCGGCUUGCUGGGUCUUAACUGACGCUGAGGCACGAAAGCGUGGGGAGCAAACAGGAUUAGAUACCCUGGUAGUCCACGCCGUAAACGAUGAGUACUAAGUGUCGGGUUUCGGCUCGGUACUGAAGUUAACACAUUAAGUACUCCGCCUGAGUAGUACGUACGCAAGUAUGAAACUUAAAGGAAUUGACGGGACCCCGCACAAGCGGUGGAUCAUGUUGUUUAAUUCGAAGAUACACGAAAAACCUUACCAGGUCUUGACAUAAUUUUGCGACAUUAUAGAAAUAUAAUGAAGGUUAUCAGAAUUACAGGUGGUGCAUGGUUGUCGUCAGCUCGUGUCGUGAGAUGUUAGGUUAAGUCCUAAAACGAGCGCAACCCUUGUCGUUAGUUGCGACCAUGUAAUGGUGAGCACUUUAGCGAGACUGCCAAUGAAAAAUUGGAGGAAGGUGAGGAUUACGUCAAAUCAUCAUGCCCCUUAUGAUCUGGGCUACAAACGUGAUACAAUGGCUGUUACAAAGAGUAGCUACAACGUGAGUUUUUAGCCAAUCUCAAAAAAACAGUCUCAGUUCGGAUUAAAGUCUGCAACUCGACUUCAUGAAGUUGGAAUCGCUAGUAAUCGCGAAUCAGCAUGUCGCGGUGAAUACGUUCUCGGGGUUUGUACACACCGCCCGUCAAACCACGAAAGUUGAUAAUACCCGAAAGCGGUCGCCUAACUUCGUCAGAAGAGGGAGCCGUCUAAGGUAGGAUCGAUGAUUGGGGUUAAGUCGUAACAAGGUAUCCCUACCGGAAGGUGGGGAUGGAUCACCUCCUUUCUAAGGAAACAUAGAAUCAUCAUCUUCAGUUUUGAAAGACUUAGUUAGGUUUUUCUAAUUUGAAAAACUUAGUUAAGUUUUUCUCAUUUCUUUUAUUUUUUGGUAUCCUGGGCCUAUAGCUCAGUUGGUUAGAGCACACGCCUGAUAAGCGUGAGGUCGGUGGUUCAAGUCCAUUUAGGCCCACCAAACGUUUUGCUAAAAAAAACGUGUUAUCAAAAAAAAGUUCUUUGAAAAGUAGAUAAACAAGAAAACAAUAGCCAUUUUUAAAGGAAGUAAGGGCGUACAGUGGAUGCCUUGGCACUAAGAGCCGAUGAAGGACG
RNAcentral lists this ribosomal RNA (1845 nucleotides) under Eggplant big bud phytoplasma. RNAcentral describes it as "bacterial SSU rRNA". The stretch from base 1 to 1525 matches the Rfam family "Bacterial small subunit ribosomal RNA". Lineage: Bacteria; Bacillati; Mycoplasmatota; Mollicutes; Acholeplasmatales; Acholeplasmataceae. The record is from RNAcentral.